RNAcentral lists this transfer RNA (88 nucleotides) under Chryseobacterium koreense CCUG 49689. RNAcentral's name for it is "tRNA-Ser". It matches the Rfam family "tRNA". Rfam says of the family: Transfer RNA (tRNA) molecules are approximately 80 nucleotides in length. Their secondary structure includes four short double-helical elements and three loops (D, anti-codon, and T loops). Lineage: Bacteria; Pseudomonadati; Bacteroidota; Flavobacteriia; Flavobacteriales; Weeksellaceae. RNAcentral also lists the same sequence under 1 other name. The record is from RNAcentral.
GGAGGAAUGGCAGAGUGGUCGAUUGCGGCAGUCUUGAAAACUGUUGACUGUAACAGGUCCCGGGGUUCGAAUCCCUGUUCCUCCGCCG